This is a long non-coding RNA of Octopus bimaculoides (California two-spot octopus), 1718 nucleotides long. Lineage: Eukaryota; Metazoa; Mollusca; Cephalopoda; Octopoda; Octopodidae. The record is from RefSeq and is a predicted model, not a curated record.
UUCAAUAAAUGAAAAAAUUAGCCCGCUUCUAAAAUAAUAAUAAUAAAUAAAAACAAUGUAAGCUUCGCUGAAAAUUAUUGGGAAGAAUAAAAAUGAGUAUAUUCGAAACAGUAGAGUUCAGUACACGUGGAUAACAAGUUAACCUUUCGACCCUUCCUCACCUCCCUGGUCAUUAAGCAAAGUUUCUCAUUCGGCCCAACAUGGCGUACCGGUGGGAUGAAAAUCUGUUUUAUUUCAUGAUAAUAAAUGAAUAAAGAGCUUGCGUAUAAGAAAUUAUUCUAGGAGAAAAGUAUUUGUAUAAUGAUUGACAGAAUAUUUUGAACAUAUUGAUAUAGUACUUAGGCAGUUCGGAUGGUACAUAUUUUUGUCCUGGACGAGGUCUUUAAUUUUCCUUCAAAUAUAUAUACAUACGUUUCUAUAGUUAUAUGGGUGGGUGUUUAUCACAAAAAGUGAAAUACUAUCCGAUUUAGAUGCACACACUAUACCAGUUUGCUAAUAUUGAGGCCAGGUUGUAAGUAAUAACUGAGUAGAAUUAUAUAGGUAUAAUAUUUGCGUGUAUGUAUUAAGCUGCAUUAUUUCACCCGCCCUAUCUAUGCCUAUAUUUAAUAGUUAUAUUCAUGAAGAGCUUAAAUUUACUAAGAAUUUCCUCAGAUGCAAGUAUUAUCGGCUGAAAUUUACUUGAAAACUCAGCAGCUCAAAAAUUAAAUCCCGAAAGAAAGAAAAAGAGAAAGCAUCAAAGUUUAUUUAACCUGUUGUCCAGUAUAUGGGAAAGAGGAAAAUAGAUGGAACAAGUCAUCUGAAAGGUAUGAUGUCUCAAUACAGAACCUGUCUGUGAUUCUCAAAGUGACCCCGUGAUUGGCUUCUCCCUGUAAAUCAAAAAGUAAAAAAAAACACAAAAUCAUAGUUCUGUUAUGUGUUCAUCGCCAUUUAUUCAAGGACAUUUAGAUAUAUAAGGUUCUUAUAGGGUAGAAAUCACAAAAAUAAAAUCACUUUUCUCUGCGUUAAAUACCAUCAAUAUAUAUAUAUAAGUAUUAUGUUUAAAACAGCAGUUGAACACUUGGAAGUGACAGUACAAUAAUAGUGGAGCUGACAGCACCGUAUCUAUGUAUGUAUGUGUGUGUGCAUAUAUAUAUAUAUAUAUAUAUAUAUGUGUGUGUGUGUGUGUGUAUCUAUUUGUGUAAGUGUGGGUCAGCAAACUUAUACGAUCCUUGAUACUGCUGCUGUUGCUGUAUCUUGAUCAUAAACUAGAUAGAUACGUGAACUGUGCACAUAGACAGGUAAGUAACUAGUGUUAGUAAAAUACGACACACAUGGCCAUCCAAGGAAACCUAACGAAAGUGUCAUACAGGUACCAAAGAAAGGCAUCACAUUUACAAUGGUUGUGGAAAAAACGGUUUUGAUGCCUAUGGAACCUGAGAAUCUACCUCUGUGCUCACCAUCAACAACAUACUUCAGAACAUGAACACAAUGUGUGGCUGAAUUUUUUUAAUAGGCUGAGAAAUAGAUUUUCUUCCGAGGUAAAAAAAAAAAAAAGAAAAGAAAAAGAUAAAACAAAGAAGAAAAUCAAAAAGGUGUGAUGGAAUGAGAUGCCAGUAUGAAAUUGUGAGGAGAAUGUCAGUUUGUGAGCGAGAUAGUGUUCUGAGGCAGAAGGUGUUCCAUCAUCUUGUAGUCGUGUCAUGGUAGAGUUCUAAUGAACAAAAAAAAAAAAAACAGACAAA